GUCGAGAUGAUGGAAUGGUAGACAUGUCAGACUUAAAAUCUGGUGGGCAGUAAUGUUCGUGUGGGUUCGAUGCCCAUUCUCGAUAC
This 86-nucleotide transfer RNA is filed under the name termite gut metagenome. RNAcentral describes it as "tRNA-Leu". It matches the Rfam family "tRNA". Rfam says of the family: Transfer RNA (tRNA) molecules are approximately 80 nucleotides in length. Their secondary structure includes four short double-helical elements and three loops (D, anti-codon, and T loops). Further hydrogen bonds mediate the characteristic L-shaped molecular structure. tRNAs have two regions of fundamental functional importance: the anti-codon, which is responsible for specific mRNA codon recognition, and the 3' end, to which the tRNAs corresponding amino acid is attached (by aminoacyl-tRNA synthetases). tRNAs cope with the degeneracy of the genetic code in two manners: having more than one tRNA (with a specific anti-codon) for a particular amino acid; and 'wobble' base-pairing, i.e. permitting non-standard base-pairing at the 3rd anti-codon position. The record is from RNAcentral.